This is a non-coding RNA of Marmota monax (woodchuck), 565 nucleotides long. The record is from the annotation of a RefSeq genome assembly. Lineage: Eukaryota; Metazoa; Chordata; Mammalia; Rodentia; Sciuridae.
UGGGCCUCUAGUGCAGCUGCAGGAGGGUCUGGGCCAUGGUGCAAAAAGGGGUUUAUGUACAGAUCUAUGUCACAGUGUGCUGUGUUCGGCAGCGGGACCAAGUUGACCGUCCUUGGUCAGCCCAAGGCUGGGCCCUCGCUCACCCUGUUCCCACCCUCCUCUGAGGAGCUCCAGAGCAACAAGGCCACACUGGUGUGUCUGAUCAACGACUUCUACCCGGGUGCCGUGACCGUGAACUGGAAGAAAGAUGGCACCAAGGUCACCCAGGGCGUGCAGAACACUCAGCCCUCCAAACAGACCAACAAUAAGUACAUGGCCAGCAGCUACCUGACUCUGACAGCAGAGGAGUGGAAAUCUCAUAAUUCAUUCACCUGCCAGGUCACUCAUGAGGGGAGCACCGUGGAGAAGAGUGUGUCCCCUGCACAGUGUUCCUAGGUCUCAGACCCUCACUCCACCCUGGAGCUGAAAACCCCAGGGAAGCUUCUCUCCUCCCACCCCUACCAUCCCAGCCCUUCUCCCUCAACCCAGAAACCCUCAAUAAACAUUCUCCUUUUCAACCAGAAAA